ACCCGAAAAUGGCAAACUUAUCGAAAGAUAAGGACGCAAAACUAAAGGGCCUUCUGCAUAAGCAGGUGGUAGCCAGUUAUCGAA
Molecule: non-coding RNA, 84 nt
Organism: Clostridiales bacterium GWD2_32_59
Lineage: Bacteria; Bacillati; Bacillota; Clostridia; Eubacteriales
Source: Rfam